GAUGAACGCUGGCGGCGUGCCUAAUACAUGCAAGUCGAGCGAACAGACGAGGAGCUUGCUCCUCUGACGUUAGCGGCGGACGGGUGAGUAACACGUGGAUAACCUACCUAUAAGACUGGGAUAACUUCGGGAAACCGGAGCUAAUACCGGAUAAUAUAUUGAACCGCAUGGUUCAAUAGUGAAAGACGGUUUUGCUGUCACUUAUAGAUGGAUCCGCGCCGCAUUAGCUAGUUGGUAGGGUAACGGCUUACCAAGGCAACGAUGCGUAGCCGACCUGAGAGGGGGGAGGGCAAAAGGGGAGGGGAAACACGGCCCAGGCCCCGACGGGGGGCCAGAACGGGGAAGUUUACGCAAUGGGGGAAAGCUUGAGGGAAGAACGCCGAGUGGGUGAAGAAGGUUUUCGGGACGGAAAACUUUUUUAUUAGGGAAAAACAAAUUGGUAAGUAAAUAUGAGCAUCUUGAAGGUACCUAAACAGAAAGCCAGGGCAACUUACUU
Molecule: ribosomal RNA, 496 nt
Filed under: uncultured bacterium
Lineage: Bacteria
Description: partial 16S ribosomal RNA
Rfam family: Bacterial small subunit ribosomal RNA
Source: RNAcentral